AAGGGAGCUUGCUCCCAGAGGUUAGCGGCGGACGGGUGAGUAACACGUGGGCAACCUGCCUUGUAGACUGGGAUAACAUCGAGAAAUCGGUGCUAAUACCGGAUAAUAGAUGGAACUGCAUAGUUCCAUUUUAAAAGAUGGCAUCUCGCUAUCACUACAGGAUGGGCCCGCGGCGCAUUAGCUAGUUGGUAAGGUAACGGCUUACCAAGGCGACGAUGCGUAGCCGACCUGAGAGGGUGAUCGGCCACACUGGGACUGAGACACGGCCCAGACUCCUACGGGAGGCAGCAGUAGGGAAUCUUCCGCAAUGGACGAAAGUCUGACGGAGCAACGCCGCGUGAGUGAUGAAGGGUUUCGGCUCGUAAAGCUCUGUUGUUAGGGAAGAACAAGUGCCUGAGUAACUGUAGGCACCUUGACGGUACCUAACCAGAAAGCCACGGCUAACUACGUGCCAGCAGCCGCGGUAAUACGUAGGUGGCAAGCGUUGUCCGGAAUUAUUGGGCGUAAAGCGCGCGCAGGCGGUCUCUUAAGUCUGAUGUGAAAGCCCCCGGCUCAACCGGGGAGGGCCAUUGGAAACUGGGAGACUUGAGUACAGAAGAGGAGAGUGGAAUUCCACGUGUAGCGGUGAAAUGCGUAGAUAUGUGGAGGAACACCAGUGGCGAAGGCGACUCUCUGGUCUGUAACUGACGCUGAGGCGCGAAAGCGUGGGGAGCAAACAGGAUUAGA
This 726-nucleotide ribosomal RNA is filed under the name uncultured Bacillota bacterium. RNAcentral's name for it is "bacterial SSU rRNA". It matches the Rfam family "Bacterial small subunit ribosomal RNA", at positions 72 to 782 of the family's 1533-position model. Lineage: Bacteria; Bacillati; Bacillota. The record is from RNAcentral.